Non-coding RNA from Podarcis lilfordi (Lilford's wall lizard), 71 nucleotides. The record is from the annotation of a GenBank genome assembly. NCBI's taxonomy places the organism in Eukaryota, Metazoa, Chordata, Lepidosauria, Squamata, Lacertidae.
GACUGUGGCUCGGUGCUAAGAGUACUUGCUUUUCAUGCAGAAGGUCCCAGAUUCAAUCCCUGGCACCGUCC